GCAUAUCAAUAAGCGGAGGAAAAGAAACCAACAGGGAUUGCCUCAGUAACGGCGAGUGAAGCGGCAACAGCUCAAAUUUAAAAUCGUGCCCCUUCGGGAUACGAGUUGUAAUUUGCAGAGGAUGCUUCGGCUGCGGCCCCGGUCUAAGUUCCUUGGAACAGGACGUCGUAGAGGGUGAGAACCCCGUAUGCGGCUGGGCGCCAACGCCAUGUGAAGCUCCUUCGACGAGUCGAGUUGUUUGGGAAUGCAGCUCUAAAUGGGAGGUAUAUUUCUUCUAAGGCUAAAUACCGGCGAGAGACCGAUAGCGCACAAGUAGAGUGAUCGAAAGAUGAAAAGCACUUUGGAAAGAGAGUUAAAAAGUACGUGAAAUUGUUGAAAGGGAAGCGCUUGCAACCAGAUUUGGACGUAGUUGCUUAGCCGGGCUUCCUGCCCGGUGCACUCUUCUGCUUUCAGGCCAGCAUCGGUUUGGACGGCCAGAUAAAGACCGUGGGAAUGUAGCUCCUCCCGGGGAGUGUUAUAGCCCACGGUGGAAUGUGGCCAGUCUAGACCGAGGUCCGCGCUUCGGCUAGGAUGCUGGCGUAAUGGUUGUAAGCGGCCCGUCUUGAAACACGGACCAAGGAGUCUAACAUCUAUGCGAGUGUUUGGGUGCAAAACCCAUGCGCGUAAUGAAAGUGAACGGAGGUGGGAGCUCUCACGGGCGCACCAUCGACCGAUCCUGAUGUCUUCGGAUGGAUUUGAGUAAGAGCAUACCUGUUGGGACCCGAAAGAUGGUGAACUAUGCCUGAAUAGGGUGAAGCCAGAGGAAACUCUGGUGGAGGCUCGCAGCGGUUCUGACGUGCAAAUCGAUCGUCAAAUUUGGGCAUAGGGGCGAAAGACUAA
Molecule: ribosomal RNA, 879 nt
Filed under: Acrogenospora carmichaeliana
Lineage: Eukaryota; Fungi; Ascomycota; Dothideomycetes; Minutisphaerales; Acrogenosporaceae
Description: LSU rRNA
Rfam family: Eukaryotic large subunit ribosomal RNA
Source: RNAcentral